RNAcentral lists this ribosomal RNA (434 nucleotides) under uncultured bacterium. Its description in RNAcentral is "bacterial SSU rRNA". It matches the Rfam family "Bacterial small subunit ribosomal RNA", at positions 9 to 419 of the family's 1533-position model. The record is from RNAcentral.
UAUUUUGAUCAUGGCUCAGUAGUGACCGCUGGCUUGUAUGGCCUAACACAUGCAAGUCGAACGGCAGCACAGGAGAGCUUGCUCUCUGGGUGGCGAGUGGCUGGACGGGUGAGUGAAUACAUCGGAAUCUACUCUGUCGUGGGGGAUAACGUAGGGGAAACUUACGCUAAUACCGCAUACGACCUACGUGGUGAAAGCAGGGUGAUCUUCGGACCUUGCGCGAUUGAAUGAGCCGAUGUCGGAUUAGCUAGUUGGCGGGGUAAAGGCCCACCUUUGCGACGAUCCGUACCUGGUCAUGAGAGUAUUAGUCAGCCACACUGGAACUGAGACACGGUCCAGACUCCUACGGGAGGCAGACAUGUGGGGAAUAGUUGGACAAUUGGGCGCAAGCUAUGANUCCAGCCAUACCAGNCGUGGGUGAAGAAGGCCAGAUC